UAAAUGUUUUAUGGAGUUAUGUUAUUCAAUUUAGUUGUUCAUUGCAAAUGACUAUAUAUAGAAAGACUCUUACCAUAUUCACUAAAUCUUUAUCAAAUCAACACUUAAAAGCCAGUUUGUAAAUUGCAAAGAUAAUCAUAGAAUGAAGAGUCAUAAAUUGCAUGAGAAGGAAAUCAAAGUCUUGCAAGAAACUUCCUCAUUGCUCACAACUUAACAUCAGUUCUUGAAAGGAGACACAAAUGCAAUGCAAGACAAGAUACAAGCUUCUGAUUAGAAUCCAAAGAAAGGUGAAUUUGUUGUCAAUCACAAAAGAACCAAACACAAUUGCAAUUCAAAGCUGGUCUUUAUUGGUUGCAUGAUCUAUGAUUCUCAAAUACAAAAGAAUAAAAAUUUGAAAAGAAAAGAAAUUUCCUAAUAAAGCUAGUCGAAGUUAUUCUCAAAGGUCAUACACCACUUACCUUAAAUAUGUCACCAAGGGCGGCUACACAUAAAACCCGGAUCUGCUCUAUGAAUUUCAUUUCAAAUGAAUAUAGAUAACUUACAAUGCAAUAUGAUUUGAGAAGUUUGUAAGAGAGGGCAGCAAUGAUAUAUUUUUGGAGGAAAGACAGGAAGAAAAAUAUGAUAUCCAUGAAACCUUUACCAAAAUUUAAGUUAAAAAUAUGAGAUAUGAGAAAAGGGACUUAUGAUAUCCAUGGAAUUUUUAAUCAAGGCAAAAUCUAAAGGCAUCAUAUCAUAAUUUUCAUGGAAAGGAAAUAGAGCACAACUUACUUUUGUGUCCACGCAUUCAAUUCAUAAUUUGGUUCUCAAACUGAUAGUCUCAAAAGUAUCUAUGCCCAAACUUAAUCCUGCAACAUUAUGCCACAAAAGCUUACAAAAAUUUAAAACAAGGCUUUAUAUGAGACUAAAUCAAGUAGCUUAGGAUGAGAAGAACUAAGGGUAUAACUGAACUUACCUCCGACCCUUAAUAGAUAUAUGUGGAAUGUGGGAAAUCUUGGACCAUUCAGGGCCACUCUCCCUCUUACAUCUUGUCUUUAAUUGAGGACAAAAUAGAAUGUUAAUUCUUUCUAAUUUGGAGAGGCUUCGCAUAACAUCAACAGAAGGCAGGUACAUGAGCUUUGGGCAAAAUUUCAUAGUCAGACGCUUUAGGGAAGAAAGUUUUCCCAACCACUCUGGAAAGGCUUCUAUUCCUUGAAACUCUUCUAUCCUCAAUGCUUCGAGGGCAGUGAAGAACUGAAGUUGGUGAGGAAGACUCUUUAGCUUUUCCCAACCAAUCAGUUUUAGAUCUAGAAGUGAGGCACUGAGAUAUUGAAUGGAAAAGGGCCAUGGGAAUUCUUGCAGCUCUUCUGAGAAACCACCGAUAGCUAAAUCUCUCAAGCAGUUAAGCCUAACAAGGCUGGCAUCUUGAAUCCAUGUCCGAUCAGGCAAAUUUAAUAUUGUUAGACUGCAAAGGUAAACGUUGGAUUGCAACAUAUUUGGUAGCAGACGACUCCAUUCUUCGCCUACUUUCCCAAAUUCUAAUUCUGUGAGAGAAGAGAGUCCAUCUAAACUUGGAAUGGGCUUCAAAUUAGGGCAAUCACGUAUCAUCAAUUUUUUAAGGGAUGACAGGGGUGCUUUUAGUGGAAAGCUCUCCAAUUUGUCACAGCCAUCAACUGAUAGAUUUUCAAGAGAUGAAAAUCCUUCCAAAUUUGGGAUCGAACUUAAAUUAGGACAAUCUUCUAGCUCUAAUUCUUUGAGACAAGUGGAGGUAGAUAAUCCAUCUCCAAUCUUGCUUAAUUUUUCACAACUGGAAAUGCGAAGCCCUUCAAGAGAUGAACAUCCUCCAGUUAUUGGAAGAACUUCCAAUUGUUGCAACUUUCAACAGACAGAAAUUGAAGAGAGGAAAAUCCUUCCAAAUUUGGGAUCGAACUUAAAUUAGAACAAUCUUUUAGAUCUAAUUCUUUGAGACAAGUGGAGGUAGAUAAUCCAUCUCCAAUCUUGCUUAAUUUUUUACAACUGGAAAUGAGAAGCAUUACAAGAGAUGAACAUCCUCCAGUUAUUGGAAGAACUUCCAAUUUGUUGCAACGUAGAACUGACAGAUCUUGAAGAGAGGAAAAUCCUUCCAAAUUUGGGAUCGAACUUAAAUUAGGACAAUCUUCUAGAUCUAAUUCUUCGAGACAAGUGGAGGUAGAUAAUCCAUCUCCAAUCUUGCUUAAUUUUUUACAACUGGAAAUGCGAAGCUUUUCAAGAGAUGAACACCCUCCGCUUAUAGGAAGAACUUCCAAUUUGUAGCACACUCGAACUGACAGAUAUUGAAGAGAGGAAAAUCCUUCCAAAUUUGGGAUCGAACUUAAAUUAGGACAGUCUUCUAGCUCUAAUUCUUUGAGACAAGUGGAGGUAGAUAAUCCAUCUCCAAUCUUGCUUAAUUUUUCACAACGGAAAAUGCUAAGCUUUUCAAGAGAAUAACAUUGUCCCGUCAGUGGAACACUUUUCAACAGGGGACAAUCCCAAAUCUUCAGCCGCUCCAAGCAAGGAAACAUGAUCGUCUUUGUUUCCGCCAUCGCUGUCCAUUCUUCUAGACUUUCCAUCCCACUUAAGGUGAAUUUUUUCAAUGCAGGAAAGACCUUGAUCACCUUAUUCAUACCAUCAACACCUUCGUUGCAAUAAAAUUCAUUACCCAUGCGUUUCACUUUCUUCAGAUUUCUCAACUUAAGAUACUGGAGAUUGUGCAAUUGGCCCAGAGGUGGAAGACUUUCACAGUUGAUGCCAUUGAAAAUGUUCAGCUCCAUCAAAUUGUUAGCAAAAACUGAUCAGUAUUAGAAUCACCAACAGGUCUUAACAUCCAUGAGGGAAAGCUUUCACCUUCAUAAUUCCUAACAAUUAAGCUUUGCAAAUUUGAGUGAGGUUGGAGACCUUCCAUCACUUCCUCACUGUUAUAACCACCACUCCCACCAUGACUCACUUCAAAACCAAAUAUCAACUUGCACAAUUUUCCUUUAAGGCGUAGAUUUGCUCCAUUAGCCUCUUGUUUGUCUCUAACACCCCGAAGAUGGCAUAUCUUCAGUUCUCCACGCAGUUUGUUUAGGGAUCCUAACUCCUUAAUCGAACGUCCCCUUUCUGAUCCCACAAAAAAUAUGGGUAAUGUUUGAAGACAAGUUAGGUUUCCAAUAUUAACUGGCUGAAGUUCUUUUCUAUCAAAAUACAAGUGCUUCAAGCUUAUCAAAAUUUCCAAUCCAUCUGGAAGUGUGAGUCCCGGUAAACCCAAGAGCCUCAAUGUUUGCAGAUUGUAAAGUUUGGUUGUGGACUUAGGCAGUGCUUUGAUAGAAGUCCUUGAGAUGUCCAAAUACCUCAAGUGCUUUAAUUCUCCAAGGGAAUCUGGCAACUCACAAAUAUUAGCAGCACCAACAAACUUUAGGACUCUUAAUCUUGUGAAGCUUUUUGGCAGUUUCUUGAACACAUCAAUCUCUGAAAACAACGAGUAUAAUUUUGGAGCAACCACCGUUAAAAUUUCUGGUAAUGAUUCCCCAUUACACCCAACAUUGAGAUGACGAAUAUGAGAACACUCAUUCGAGGCGAGAGUGGAAUUCUCUUGAAAAAACAAAGUAUCAAACUUUGACACAGACAAAGAUAAAUCAUGCACCGAGUCGUGCAUCUUGAAUGUGAGAAUAUUCCCAAAUUUGUCCUUCUCGACAUCUUGAAAUAAGGAAUUUGAUAACAACUCAUUCAAGUAUUUGUCACCAAUAUCCACCAUUGCCAUAGAGCUGCCAAGAAAUACUUCAGCCAUCCACAGUUGGAUCAAUUCCUCUUUUUCAAAGAAAUAAUCUUUAGGAAACAUGGCAGAGUAUGCAAAACACUUCUUCAAAGGUGGAGAAGACAAGUGAUCGAAACUUAACUUUAACACCCUUUCCAUUGAACCCGAUGCAUCACUUCUUUGAAUUUUCGACCAUGCGCAAGGACUCCUUUCGAUUUUGCGCAUUAUCCCUCCCAUAAGUUUAGCUACCAAUGGCACACCUCGACAUUGCUUAGCAAUUUCAUUUCCAAUUAACUCUAAUUCGUGAGACAUUGGAGAGGCCCUUAGUGCUUGUUGUUUUAUUAGGGACCAGCAUUCUUCAUCUCCUAGUCUUCCUGGUUGAUGCCUUUGAUUUGGAAGUGCUUGCACUUUUGACGCUACAUCUUGAAUGCGUGUUGUCACAAUAACUCCAUUCCCACCAUUUUUACUGAUUUCCAUCAGAUGAUCCUUCAGUGCGUCCCAUUUUUCAAAACUCCACACAUCAUCAAGUACAAGAAGAUACUUGAUCUGAUCCUUUUCUCGUUUGGCCCGUUCAAUCUUCUCCUUGAGUUUCUCAACCAUUGCAUUCAUAUUUUGAGGAAUUGAGAUCUGAUCAUCAGUAAAAUGCUCUAACAUCUCUUUUAAAAUCCUCUUGACAUCAAAAUGAUCAGAAACACACACCCAGAAUUUGACAUCGAAAUGUGCUGCCACAUUCGAAUCAUUGUACACCAGCUUUGCUAAAGUAGUUUUGCCAAGACCUGCCAUGCCUACUAUUGGCACAAAAGAAACAAUCUGUUCAUCUUUGGGAUUGACUAACAGGUCAACUACUUUUGAGACAUCAUUUUUCCUUCCAAUAAUGUCUAAGCCCGUGAGGACGGAGCUCGUCUCCUCCUCUCGUCGUCCAUACUCAGGAUCUGGAUCGGUAGCUCUCUUUUGGAGACCAAAAUCAGUGGCCAAUUUGUUAAGGUCAUCCAGUGUUUUAAGGAUGUCCUUAAUUUUAUUAGCCAUGUUGCGACGAAAUACAAAGGGAUUGGAGGGAGAACAAAAGUCUCGUACCUUCCUCCUAAUUUGGUUUCGAAUCUCCACUUUCCUUCGGAGAAUUUCAUAAGCAAACUCAUCAAGGACAUCAUCGGCCUCGUAAGCAACAUCUUUGAGCCUAUGUAACCAAACCUUCACUGCUUCGUUCUUUGUUUGCCUUUCCUCUGCAUCUUGAAAGAAAGCUUUGAUCAGUUGUAGUGAGUCACCCAGUCUUUUCAGCUCCUUCUUGAAACCCAAUGCAAGGCCGAUUCGUUCAGCGGCAAUAGAAAUCAGUUUAGACACCACUCCUUCUAGGACAGCAGCCAAAAGAGCUUCUGCCAUCUUUGCUUCUGCAAUCUGAAAGGUCUGAAAUGUAAGGAAAUAUUUUUUCUUUAAAAAAUCCCACUCGAAAUAAAGAGGAAAAGAAGAAAUUCGUAACUCGGAAAAUUAAAGCAACAGGAUACUGAGUCCAGGAAAUGAAAUAGAGCUGAAGAUGAACUGGUUCAGUAAAAGUGAACUGAAUUGUGUUUUGUGUAUUAAAUAUAUGACAUUGUUUUGGGAUUUUUAGAACAUAUAAGCUUAUUGGGUGGGCCGUGUUUGAAAUUGGGCUUGAUUUUUUAAAAUUGUUGCAAUCCGAUCCAUAAACACUUACUAAAAAAAUAAGAAUUGGUGGCAAAGAAGUAGAACAAUGGGUGUAAAGAGAGCUAGGUGUGAAGUACAUAAGUGGUUAUUAUAUUUUUGUUAUUAAAUAUGUAUAAGUAUUUGUGUAAUUAAUUUCUAAUUGAUAUACUAAUUAAAAACUAAUAUUAAUGUACAAAAAUUACAUAUUAGGAUUAUGAUCAUUUAAAUUACUUUAUAGAUAAUUUUUUUUGACAUCUUAUUUUUUAGAAAAGAAAGUGAUCUAUUUUAAAAUAUUAUUAUGUUAAUUUGAAACAUAAAAAUAAUAAGAUUUAAGUAUUUCAACAUAUCAUAAAUUCGAGUAUAAUUUUACAUCUAUUUUUUUAUUUUUUAUGAUCUGACUAGAUAGUUUCUAGUUAAUUAAUAAUAAAGUAAUGGUUUAAUUAAUUCAACUAAUGAAAAAUAAUCAAAAUUGUUUGUGAGCAUACGAAAACUGAAAACCUGAAAAACUAGUAAAAACUUGAAACAAAUAUAUAUUAUUUUAAUAUAAUAUAGUAAUUCAGCUCGAAUUUAUAAAAACUUUUAAAUUAUUUUUGAGAGAUUUUAAUGGGUAGAUAACAUUGGUCACAUCAUUAAAUUUUAACAGGAUUUAGGUUUAGGGACCAAACCGAAAUUAGUUGUCAACUUCAAGUACCAAAGUGGACCAAUAAAAAAUACAGAUAUCAAAAUAGACUAGGGUAAAAAUUAUAUUAUCCCUUACAGAUAUUGUAGGGGAUGUUUAAUUACAUCAAUUUCUUUGAUGUUUAAUUACAUAGAAUAGCUGUCGACAAAGAAGCAACUUUUUAGUUACAAUCUAAAAAUCAUAGAAUUUAGUUCUAAUUAAAAGUUGGCUUAAUAAUCACUUUAGUUCUUGAACACGAGAUCAUUGUCUUUUGGAAUGAUAUCACUUACAGUAGUUGUUUUAUAAUUUAAUCAAUCGAAAUUUAUAUUUAGUAGAUUUUUUAAGUGAUAAAUUUAGAUAAUAUUUUUCAUAUUAUUUUAAUUAAAUAAUCAUUUAAAUAAUAAAUAUGAUUUUUUAAGAAUUUUCUAAUGAUGAUAUCACUCAUCAUGUGAUACAUGAAAAUAUAUGACUGACUAAAUAUCUCAACCCUUAGUUCUUAAUGUCCAAAAGAGUAAACUGGAAACUCUAAUAACAUUAGGGACUGAAGUGAGCAAAAAAAACUUUAAGGAUCAAAAUAGAAAAAGUGAUAUACUUUAAGGGUUAAAAUGUGAAUUAAGUAUUAAAAGAUUGAGGAUUGUUAAGGUAAUGUAAAAUAACUUGGAAAAAGGAAAUAUUCUAAAUAUAAGACAAAUUUGAUGAUUUUGGGACGAUAUGUUACGUUAUAAAUGGGUGUUUUAAAAUAUAAAUACAUGUUUUAUUAAUAACUGGAUGUGAUCAAAUUACAAGUUAGAAUAAAUUUAAACUAUAAACUAAUUAAUUAAACUAACAAAUUACGAGUUAUAAUCACUGCAAGAUUUUGUAGCAAGUCUGACCCCUGAAAUAAAUAAUUGAUUAAAUGAGCCGAAAUUGAGCAAAUUUAAUUGCACAAUAUAUAACCAUUCAACACAAAAUAAAACUCAAUAAUAUAGUAAAGAACAUGUGAAUUUUUACGUGAAAAACCCCCCUUAAAGUAAAGCAAAGGGUAAAAAUCACGGGACUUGAAAGUCCACUAAAAAACUUCACUAUACCCAAAAGGUUUAUUACAACAUCACAAUACAAAACCACAAUAAAAAAGCAUACAACUCCAACAAAACUAUUUGGAGAAAAGUAAAGGAUAUCACCCAAAUAUGACUUUAACAUUGAAAAUGAAAAACCUAAAGAUACAAAAUCCGUAUGAAAAAUCCAACCUUGCACAAUCGAAAUAGCCAUUGUCCAAAAAUCAGCUCAGACAGACAUCAGAUAAACCCCUGAAUUGGUGAACUAAAGCUGUCUUUUAUAUUAUAGCUCUUCAAUGUCGAAAAGGAGAACCAUUCACUCUGACUCCAGCCCUAUCAGCAUCUCCCUUCAUAUCCAAAGAGAAUUCAGAAAGUUCAUGAGUGGAUACUGGAAAAUUCAUGGAACAUAAGCAGUACUGGUUUUAACAAAAGGUUAAAACAUGAAAAUCCGUCCUUAAAUUAGAAGCAAUAAAAUAGCAGAAAGAAAGAAUAAAGAAAGAAAUAUAAGAGACUUGUAGUUCCAAACUAAAUGAAUGGUUUAUGGUGUUAUGUUAUUCAAUUUAGUUGUUCAUUGCAAAUGACUAUAUAUAGAAAGAGACUUACCAUAUUCACUAAAUCUUUAUCAAAUCAACACUUAAAAGCCAGUUUGUAAAUUGCAAAGAUAAUCAUAUCAUAGAAUGAAGUGUCAUAAAUUGCAUGAGAAGGAAAUCAAAGUCUUGCAAGAAACUUCCUCAUUGAUCACAACUUAACAUCAGUUCUUGAAAGGAGACACAAAUGCAAUGCAAGACAAGAUACAAACUUCUGAUUAGAAUCCAAAGAAAGGUGAAUUUGUUGUCAAUCACAAAAGAACCAAUCACAAUUCCAAUUCAAAGCUGGUCUUUAUUGGUUGCAUGAUCUAUGAUUCUCAAAUACAAAAGAAUAAAAGUUUGAAAAUAAAAGAAAUUUCCUAAUAAAGCUAGUCGAAGUUAUUCUCCAAGGUCAUACACCACUUACCU
RNAcentral lists this long non-coding RNA (8070 nucleotides) under Gossypium barbadense (sea-island cotton). RNAcentral describes it as "long non-coding RNA (GBAR_LNC001870)". Lineage: Eukaryota; Viridiplantae; Streptophyta; Magnoliopsida; Malvales; Malvaceae. The record is from RNAcentral.